GAUGAAGAACGUAGCGAAAUGCGAUACGUAAUGUGAAUUGCAAAUUCAGUGAAUCAUCGAGUCUUUGAACGCACAUUGCGCCCCCUGGUAUUCCGGGGGGCAUGCCUGUCCGAGCGUCAUUGCUGCCCUCAAGCACGGCUUGUGGGUUGGGCCCCGUCCUCCGAUCCCGGGGGACGGGCCCGAAAGGCAGCGGCGGCACCGCGUCCGGUCCUCGAGCGUAUGGGGCUUUGUCACCCGCUCUGUAGGCCCGGCCGGCGCUUGCCGAUCAACCCAAAUUUUUAUCCAGGUUGACCUCGGAUCAGGUAGGGAUACCCGCUGAACUUAAGCAUAUCAAUAAGCGGAGGA
Molecule: unclassified non-coding RNA, 345 nt
Filed under: soil metagenome
Description: partial contains 5.8S ribosomal RNA, internal transcribed spacer 2, and large subunit ribosomal RNA
Rfam family: 5.8S ribosomal RNA (bases 1-119)
Source: RNAcentral